AUAAUUGUAAUAUACGAUUUUUUUGUGUUUUAAAUGCAAUCAAAUCCGGUUUUUAAUUAUAACCUAUAAUAGUAUUCUUUAAAUUGGGCUAGAAAAUUAAUAACUUAUCUUGCGUCGAGAAGUUUCUUCUUUUCUGAAAAGCGUAGAUAACAGUCGAUUAACUGUUUAGUUUACAUAAUAUUCCUAAUGCCUAGGUAUAUAGGAUGAUCAAUUUAUCGUAAGACACUUGUUGCAUAGGGAAGUAUUAUCUUUUUCUGGAAUUUGUUUUCUAGAAUAUUUAAGAAACAAGCUGCCCCACAGUUUUAUAUUUAUGUUAUUUUUUUGUCACCCUUAUUUUUGGGGAUAAAAACAACUACCUACUUUUGAAUUUCAAAGUAUAGACAAAGUAUUAGUUAAAAUAAAUUUGAGUAUUCGACGGAAUAGUAUCAUUUGUACUCGUAUUGUUUUUAUUUUGGACAUGUUUAGUCUAUAGUAAAAUAAAAUGUGCGACUAAAAGAGUAAAGUUUCCGUUUCUCUUAUCGGCAACGCCGAAUGUCAACAAAUGUCUGUGAUAUUUUAUUGUAAGAAUUGAUAUUU
Molecule: non-coding RNA, 576 nt
Organism: Cinara cedri
Lineage: Eukaryota; Metazoa; Arthropoda; Insecta; Hemiptera; Aphididae
Source: the annotation of a GenBank genome assembly